Long non-coding RNA from Lycium barbarum (goji berry), 1160 nucleotides. RefSeq lists it as uncharacterized. NCBI's taxonomy places the organism in Eukaryota, Viridiplantae, Streptophyta, Magnoliopsida, Solanales, Solanaceae. The record is from RefSeq and is a predicted model, not a curated record. The transcript is spliced from 3 exons.
UUUGACGUUGUAUGGGUCACACAAGCCCGGAAUUACUUUAAUUGCAUUUUCGUUAAACUUGUAAUUAAUCUAUUUUAAAUAUAAAAAUUUGUGCUACCUUACCAAUAAUAUGUACAAUUAUCGUAACAUUAAGCCUGCUCAUGUGCAUAUUUAAUAUCGAUCAUAUACAAAAUUGUUUUCAAAGUGACUUUGUGAGGUAAAAAGUGUUGAAACCAUUCAUAAUACAAAAAUCAAAGAUAGGAAUAUAAUUUUAAUAUUUAAUGGUAAGUCGUUUAAGUUGUUUUUUUUUAAUUUUUUUUUUGUAAGUAUGGGAAUUUGACAUGAAAUAUUGGAGGGGAAGUAAAAUAACAAAAGUUGACUUUCAAUUAUUUUGGCUUCCCUCUAAUAUGUUUGUGUAUAAUUCCCUAUGUCACCCAUUCCCCAUAUUCCCUCCCUGUAACCCACGACCAACCCCACUCAGAUAAACUUGAAGUAUCCAAUUCAAAUGCUACUACAUACACUCCAAAGAAAAAAGAAUUCCUUGCGUGUAUUUCUGUUUUUUUUCUCUCUCAAUGUCUUGCUAUUUCCCCACCUGAUGGUCAUCCAACAAUCGCUUUAGCACAAGGAACAGUUAUUCUAUGGAGUUUUCAACUCCAGCACAUAAUUUGUCUUAAUGGAGGAAUUCUUAACAUCCUUUUAAUAAGGAGGUACAUGAAGGUGCAAAAAGUGUCUCAAGAGUGAAGUUUUUAGUUUAAAGAUGUUGCAUUAGCACAUGAGGAAGCAACAUACUUUUACUUUUUCAAUUAAUCAUUAUUCAUGUAUUUCAAUUAGAUUUUUUAUGAUUAGUGAUUUCACUCUAUUUACUCAAUUUUGGACCCAUAUGUUAUCGCAUAAUUAUAGAUGUAAUUAGCAGUUGGUUUUGUAUGACUUUUGUGAUGUCUUUUAUUUAAAGAUUUAAAUACUCCCUAGUACGCUUUUGAUCACAAAGUAUCUAUUUACGGAAAGUAGAUUGUAUUGCACAUUUUCAUCCUGCAUCAAAUUUUAAAUUCAGUGAAAAAAGUAAUUUAUUCCAUAAUGGCCUUCAUAUUAACAACAUAAUUAUAUUUUUAAUUACAAAUUAACUUUAUUUGAUGACAAUUGAAAUUUUCACAAAUUAACGUAACGUAUAGUGACGAAUUAGU